UACGAAGGGGGCUAGCGUUGUUCGGAUUUACUGGGCGUAAAGCGCACGUAGGUGGGUCGCUAAGUCGGGGGUGAAAUCCUGGAGCUCAACUCCAGAACUGCCUUCGAUACUGGCGACCUUUGAGUCCGGGAGAGGUGGGUGGAACUGCGAGUGUAGAGGUGAAAUUCGUAGAUAUUCGCAAGAACACCAGUGGCGAAGGCGGCUCACUGGCCCGGUACUGACACUGAGGUGCGAAAGCGUGGGGAGCAAACAGG
This 254-nucleotide ribosomal RNA is filed under the name uncultured bacterium. RNAcentral describes it as "partial 16S ribosomal RNA". It matches the Rfam family "Bacterial small subunit ribosomal RNA", at positions 524 to 776 of the family's 1533-position model. The record is from RNAcentral.